Molecule: non-coding RNA, 89 nt
Organism: Spinacia oleracea (spinach)
Lineage: Eukaryota; Viridiplantae; Streptophyta; Magnoliopsida; Caryophyllales; Amaranthaceae
Source: Rfam
AGGACAUGUGAUGAUUUAAUUUACCCAAUAUAUUUGUCUUAAUUCAAAUUGAUGAAUUCUAUUUAACAUGCACUACCAUCUGAUCUCGA